RNAcentral lists this ribosomal RNA (430 nucleotides) under Pseudomonadota bacterium. RNAcentral's name for it is "Proteobacteria bacterium partial 16S ribosomal RNA". It matches the Rfam family "Bacterial small subunit ribosomal RNA", at positions 355 to 776 of the family's 1533-position model. Lineage: Bacteria; Pseudomonadati; Pseudomonadota. The record is from RNAcentral.
UGGGGAAUAUUGGACAAUGGGGGGAACCCUGAUCCAGCCAUGCCGCGUGUGUGAAGAAGGCCUUAUGGUUGUAAAGCACUUUAAGCGAGGAGGAGGGUACUGGUAUUAAUACUACCAGCUACUGGACGUUACUCGCAGAAUAAGCACCGGCUAACUCUGUGCCAGCAGCCGCGGUAAUACAUAGGGUGCGAGCGUUAAUCGGAUUUACUGGGCGUAAAGCGUGCGUAGGCGGCUAAUUGAGUCGGAUGUGAAAUCCCCGAGCUUAACUUGGGAAUUGCAUUCGAUACUGGUUAGCUAGAGUGUGGGAGAGGAUGGUAGAAUUCCAGGUGUAGCGGUGAAAUGCGUAGAGAUCUGGAGGAAUACCGAUGGCGAAGGCAGCCAUCUGGCCUAACACUGACGCUGAGGUACGAAAGCAUGGGGAGCAAACAGG